RNAcentral lists this long non-coding RNA (355 nucleotides) under Hordeum vulgare. RNAcentral's name for it is "long non-coding RNA (HVUL_LNC015371)". Lineage: Eukaryota; Viridiplantae; Streptophyta; Magnoliopsida; Poales; Poaceae. The record is from RNAcentral.
CUGGAUGAAUCUGGACCAACUCCAACCCAACCCCAGUACUUGUAGAUGUUAUACAUACAAUAGAUGUUAUAUAUUCAGUCAUCCACUUCUGACUGUCCGCUCGAGCGGCUCGAUGAGCUUAAUUUGAGGGCAAAGAACACAUGUUAAGAUCUAUCUAUAACAUCUCUCGCCACAUCUUAGUUUCGAUUUAGUGAUGCAAAAAUAAGUUUAAUACUGUAUUUAGCAACGCUGAAACUAGAAUUGGUAAGUACGCCCUAUCGUGGCACCUACAUGCUCCUGGUCACCUGUAUGCUCAUCUAAUUACAGUGGCGUUUGAAAUAGUUUUGAAACUGAUUAGAUGGAUGUGUGAAGUGUU